This is a long non-coding RNA of Branchiostoma belcheri (Belcher's lancelet), 1367 nucleotides long. RefSeq lists it as uncharacterized. Lineage: Eukaryota; Metazoa; Chordata; Leptocardii; Amphioxiformes; Branchiostomatidae. The transcript is spliced from 2 exons. The record is from RefSeq and is a predicted model, not a curated record.
UUUUGAGCAUCUUCAGUUGUGCCAAACCUGUCAAAACAUGGUGGAUCUCAGCGACCCUCAAAUGAUCAGGUCAUGGUCGGUUGAUCCCAGACUACUGACUUCUGUAACUACCAUUACCUUCAGCCACUACCAUUACCUUUGGUGUUGGUCUCUUGUAAACGCUCAACCAUCUGUCUCGAAGUUCGUCUGUUGAGCUUCACAGGCAAUGAGAACUUGUUCGGGUUCGGGCACAAAGUCUGGAGUGGACAGUUGAGACGUACGAAUUGUUUCUCCCACCUCUCCGUCAAGUGCCUUGAUCCAUUGUUUAAACCCUUUCCGGAAAGAACCGGUUGGUCAAGUUCCAGAAUGCAUCGCGUCAUUAAUGACUCAGUUAUGUAACAUAAACAUUACGAUAAACGUCAGAUCUGUCUUGAAUUUAGUCAGUUUUAGGUAGCCAUUAUUUGUCGGCAACCCUUUCCAGACGUGCGCGCCAGACAUACCUGGGAUACAUGAUCACGUAGUGGAUUGAAUUAGAUAUAUUGUGGCAGAACCCAUCCCACCAAUUCAUCACCUCAAGCAACCAUUACCUGCCAUUUAUCAUUCUUGUGAUGCCCUUUAUUGACGACUUCAUAGUACAAGGCCGAGGGGUGGACGGUAAUCUUGAGGGAUGAUGAUGAACUGAAGACGGCUCCCGAUUUGUUCCAUGGGUUGUAAUGCAGAAUCAAAAGACCAUGCAGAAUCCAGACUGAAGCGAAUUACCGACAACACUUGGACCACCACCCUACUCAUGACCUCUCAACUAUGACAUCUUCAAGAACAACCAUAGAACCGGUUAGACAUAGUUGUCGAGCUGAGUCUCUCUUUGCUAAACUAUACACACACAGUUUUUGUAUUGCUCCCUUACUGUAUAUUCUUUCGAAUGCUCGUCACUCAGUUGCGUGGAGUCUUCAACGUUUUUCAUACGCUGUAGUUUGUACUGAAGACCGCUUCACCGCCAUUUGACUCAGUUGAUUUCACCUCCCGCACUGCCGGCUGUUUGUCUCUGUCCUGCCCACAACAACAACAGCAUCCCAGUACUAGGAAUAGCACAGACAGACACAGAAAGACAAUCCCGACUAUCAGAAAUGGAUUAUCGUGAGCGCCUCUUGUGAUCCCAAGAGCAGUAAAGAUACCACCCUGUAUCAAAAAUAUUACGCCAACGAUGAGGGAACACACAGGGAUGCAUAUGGCCCAUGAUGUACAGUUGUGUGAAGAGCUCUGUCCGCUCCCGUCACCCCCGCUUUCACCCAUGGCGGCUAGAUGUCCACUCGGCUCGCUUUCGGUGGUAAGAUACCGUCUGGAGGACUGAGCAAACAGGUUGGGGUGAACAUGAACUGCCCACGAUCGGA